This is a small nucleolar RNA of Cricetulus griseus (Chinese hamster), 120 nucleotides long. Its record names the gene SNORA70. It matches the Rfam family "Small nucleolar RNA SNORA70". From Rfam's summary of the family: snoRNA U70 seems to be exclusive to mammals and is a member of the H/ACA class of snoRNA which contain H (ANANNA) and ACA box motifs. The record is from Ensembl. NCBI's taxonomy places the organism in Eukaryota, Metazoa, Chordata, Mammalia, Rodentia, Cricetidae.
UUACAGCCAAUUAGGUUGACCAUCUCCAUCACUGGGUCUGGUGUGGAAACAGCAGCUUCCUAGGUAGUGUAUCCAGCCUGCUGCUUCUAUUGGUUGUCCUAUGGGAUGUUGAAAUUGGUU